Molecule: ribosomal RNA, 433 nt
Filed under: uncultured bacterium
Lineage: Bacteria
Description: partial 16S ribosomal RNA
Rfam family: Bacterial small subunit ribosomal RNA
Source: RNAcentral
AACGAACGCUGGCGGCAUGCCUAACACAUGCAAGUCGAACGAGACCUUCGGGUCUAGUGGCGCACGGGUGCGUAACGCGUGGGAACCUGCCCUUAGGUUCGGAAUAACUCCCCGAAAGGGGUGCUAAUACCGGAUAAUGUCUUCGGACCAAAGAUUUAUCGCCUUUGGAUGGGCCCGCGUUGGAUUAGCUAGUUGGUAGGGUAAAAGCCUACCAAGGCGACGAUCCAUAGCUGGUCUGAGAGGAUGAUAAGCCACACUGGGACUGAGACACGGCCCAGACUCCUACGGGAGGCAGCAGUAGGGAAUAUUGGACGAUGGGCGAAAGCCUGAUCCAGCAAUGCCGCGUGAGUGAUGAAGGCCUUAGGGUUGUAAAGCUCUUUUACCCGGGAUGAUAAUGACAGUACCGGGAGAAUAAGCUCCGGCUAACUCCGUG